UACGUAGGGUGCAAGCGUUAAUCGGAAUUACUGGGCGUAAAGCGUGCGCAGGCGGCUAUGCAAGACAGAUGUGAAAUCCCCGGGCUCAACCUGGGAACUGCAUUUGUGACUGCAUGGCUAGAGUACGGCAGAGGGGGAUGGAAUUCCGCGUGUAGCAGUGAAAUGCGUAGAUAUGCGGAGGAACACCAGUGGCGAAGGCGGUUGCCUGGGGCUUUGCUGACGCUGAUGCGCGAAAGCGUGGGGAGCGAUCCGG
RNAcentral lists this ribosomal RNA (253 nucleotides) under uncultured bacterium. Its description in RNAcentral is "partial 16S ribosomal RNA". It matches the Rfam family "Bacterial small subunit ribosomal RNA", at positions 524 to 776 of the family's 1533-position model. The record is from RNAcentral.